UACAGAGGCCCCAAGCAUUAUCCGGAAUCACUGGGCGUAAAGGGUGUCGAGGCGGUCGCGUUAGUCCUCCGUAAAAUCUACGAGCUCAACUUGUAGCCCGCGGGGGAAACGGCGCGACUCGAGGAUGGGAGAGGUCUAUGGAACUCACGGUGUAGGGGUAAAAUCCGUUGAUAUCGUGGGGAACACCAAAGGCGAAGGCAGUAGACUGGCCCAUUCCUGACGCUCACACACGAAAGCUAGGGUAGCGAACGGG
This 253-nucleotide ribosomal RNA is filed under the name uncultured bacterium. RNAcentral describes it as "partial 16S ribosomal RNA". It matches the Rfam family "Bacterial small subunit ribosomal RNA", at positions 524 to 776 of the family's 1533-position model. The record is from RNAcentral.